AGUGAACGCUGGCGGUAGGCCUAACACAUGCAAGUCGAACGGCAGCACAGUAAGAGCUUGCUCUUACGGGUGGCGAGUGGCGGACGGGUGAGGAAUACAUCGGAAUCUACUUUUUCGUGGGGGAUAACGUAGGGAAACUUACGCUAAUACCGCAUACGACCUACGGGUGAAAGCAGGGGAUCUUCGGACCUUGCGCGAAUGAAUGAGCCGAUGUCGGAUUAGCUGGUUGGCGGGGUAAAGGCCCACCAAGGCGACGAUCCGUAGCUGGUCUGAGAGGAUGAUCAGCCACACUGGAACUGAGACACGGUCCAGACUCCUACGGGAGGCAGCAGUGGGGAAUAUUGGACAAUGGGCGCAAGCCUGAUCCAGCCAUACCGCGUGGGUGAAGAAGGCCUUCGGGUUGUAAAGCCCUUUUGUUGGGAAAGAAAAGCAGCAGGUUAAUACCCCGCUGUUCUGACGGUACCCAAAGAAUAAGCACCGGCUAACUUCGUG
This 492-nucleotide ribosomal RNA is filed under the name uncultured bacterium. Its description in RNAcentral is "partial 16S ribosomal RNA". It matches the Rfam family "Bacterial small subunit ribosomal RNA", at positions 29 to 507 of the family's 1533-position model. The record is from RNAcentral.